RNAcentral lists this ribosomal RNA (429 nucleotides) under uncultured Gammaproteobacteria bacterium. RNAcentral's name for it is "bacterial SSU rRNA". It matches the Rfam family "Bacterial small subunit ribosomal RNA", at positions 1 to 441 of the family's 1533-position model. Lineage: Bacteria; Pseudomonadati; Pseudomonadota; Gammaproteobacteria. The record is from RNAcentral.
GCCCUUAGAGUUUGAUCCUGGCUCAGAUUGAACGCUGGCGGCAUGCCUAACACAUGCAAGUCGAACGCGAAAGCCUUCGGGUGAGUAGAGUGGCGGACGGGUGAGUAACGCGUGGGAAUCUGCCCUGCAGUGGGGAACAACCCGGGGAAACUCGGGCUAAUACCGCAUACGUCCUAAGGGAGAAAGGGGGCCUUCGGGCUCUCGCUGCAGGAUGAGCCCACGUCCGAUUAGCUAGUUGGUGAGGUAACGGCCCACCAAGGUCACGAUCGGUAGCUGGUCUGAGAGGAUGGCCAGCCACACUGGGACUGAGACACGGUCCCAGACUCCUACGGUCAGGCAUCAUUGCGGAAUAUUGCUACAAUGGGCGAAAGCCUGAUCCAAAUGCCGCGUGUGUGAAGAAGGCCUGCGUGCUGUAAAGUACUUUCCGUG